UACUGGUAUAUGCCAAUCAGACACAAGCUAAUUGCUUUACAUGUUUUAUUUCAUUUAAUUUCAGCAAUGCUGUAAAGUAGGCAAUUGCUACUGUCUCCAUUUCACAGAUGAGAAAACAGACUCAGGAGUUGACCUUUGGUUGUGAUGGUAUAGAAUCCACUUUCUUCACCUGGUUUCCCGGACACCAGGCUUUUUCAUGAUCUUCCUCACUUCACUGGCCACUCUCAUCUUUUGAUGGGCUUCUCCUCCUCUUCUUCAGUUGUUGAAGUCUCCAGGCCAUAGUCCAUGAUGAUCUUUUUUGUCUAUGCUCACUCCUCAGAGUUGAUUUAUAACAACUAUAUGCUCUUGACUACAAAAUUUCUGUCUCUAGCCCAGACCCCCAGACUAAUAUUCUACUGCCUAUCAUACUGGCAUCUUAAACUCAACACAUCUCACCCCCAAACCCACUACCUACACUCCACUCCCACUCUCACCUACCUCAGAGAAUGGCACCAUUGUCAUCCAGUUCCCCAAGCUCCAAACCUAAAAGGUGUCAUCAGUGUGCCUCUCUUACUCCCACAUGCGGUUUCCAGGUCCUCAGCAAGUCUUGUCAGGGGUACCUUCUAAUCAUCAGAAUUCAUCACUCACUAACUCUACGGUAACCAUUCCAAACCAAACCACCAAUAUCUUGGCCUUGGUUAUAUAGUAGCCUCCUAACUGGUCACCCUGCUUCUGCCCCUUCCCCAGUCUGUUCUCCAAAGAGCAUCUGGAUAGAUCUUUAUCAGCAUAAAUCAGAUCCUGCCAUUUUAUUCAGAACAAAGUUUAAAAAGAUAGAAGCCCUACCUGACCUGAUUGUUUUCUCUCUUCCCUACCUUUAUCAUUCUCUACUGGCUUUAGUCACUGUAGUCUAGUUGCUAUCCCUUGCCCUAUUUCUUCCUACCCCAAGUCCUUUGUACUUGGCUAUUCACUUAGCUGGAAAUACCCUUCCCCCAUAUUUCAUUCAAAUCACUCAAAUGGCACCUUAUGAAAGAGGUCUUCUUAGACCACCCUUAUAGAAUAGUUGCCCACCCAAAUUUACUUAAGCUACUUGAUUUUUUUUUUCAGAGCAGAUACCACUACCCAUCGUUGGACAUUUAUUUAUUGUUGUCUGUCUCGAACAAUAGAAAAUCAGUUCUGUGAGUACAGGAACUUUCUUGUUCACUACUGCAUCCUAGAACUGCAGUUCCUAGAACUGACCCAGCAUAUGCUUGGCACCGAGUAAAUACUUGUUAAAAUACCCGUUAAAUGAAUGUUUAUUAUUUUCUUCAUAAUGUGGGAAAGGGAGAUGGAAAGAACUAUUGCUAAGUUAUUUUAGAUCACAAAAGGCAAGAGUUAUUUGCCAGGGAGUUGGUGAGGAUGAAGCUGACCUAACAGCCUGUUUAUGCCUAGAGGAAAAUGCCUGGCCAAUGAGGGAGGAUGGGUCAGAUUAGCCCCCGUCUGAAAAAUGAGGGAAUGGGAAAAUGAUGAUAUGUCUUCAACGUGUCCAGGUAAUGGCCAGGAGACAGGAUUGAAGGGAGGUUAGGGGUCACAGACCUGUCCCAGGGUGCUUUCUGUGGCCAGGAAGUGAGGAAAAGAAACAAGACUUGCUCUAUCUCCCAGGAACAUGCAGAGUCCACUGAGGCACGAACACCAGCCUCACCAGCCCCUGUCCAGGGGUACCUAGAAUCAGUAAGUACAUUUCUUUCUACAGAAAGGUGCAGAAGGCCAGAAACCUUCAGGACAACAUUGUCCAAUGUGAACUGUGUUAGACAGACCCAAGGCAACCUUCUCCAGCUCUUUCCACUCUCACUUUUUUCAGGUGAAACAAUCCCAUUAGGGGGAGACACUUGGAGGAGGAAAUUGCCACUCUGACUGGCCAAAAGUUGGGUCUGGAUUGGGUAGUUUGCCUGUCCCAUGUUGGCCUGCCCAGACUCACUCAGUCCUCUGCUCCUCUCUGCAGGCUGCCUUCAACUGCUUCAGGCCCAGAAAAGCAGCAAAACCAGACAAGUGAUGCCAUGGUUGACAUUAGGACCAACUGCAUUGACUAAUGACCACCUGCCCUGACAUUGACCAAUCAAUAGAGACCACAACCCUAAAAGGACACCUGUGGAAAGCUGAUGAAUAUUUUAUUGGGAUCCUCCCCUGAGA
Long non-coding RNA from Phyllostomus discolor (pale spear-nosed bat), 2145 nucleotides. RefSeq lists it as uncharacterized. The record is from RefSeq and is a predicted model, not a curated record. Lineage: Eukaryota; Metazoa; Chordata; Mammalia; Chiroptera; Phyllostomidae. The transcript is spliced from 2 exons.